Molecule: transfer RNA, 74 nt
Filed under: Verrucomicrobiia bacterium
Lineage: Bacteria; Pseudomonadati; Verrucomicrobiota; Verrucomicrobiia
Also listed under: 1 other name
Description: tRNA-Gly
Rfam family: tRNA
About the family: Transfer RNA (tRNA) molecules are approximately 80 nucleotides in length. Their secondary structure includes four short double-helical elements and three loops (D, anti-codon, and T loops).
Source: RNAcentral
GCGGGUGUAGUUCAAUGGUAGAACAUGAGCUUCCCAAGCUUGAGGCGUGAGUUCGAUUCUCAUCACCCGCACCA